UGCGUAGGUGGUGAGGUAAGUCGGAUGUGAAAUCUCCGAGCUCAACUCGGAAAUGGCAUUGGAAACUACCUUGCUCGAGGGUUGGAGGGGGGACUGGAAUGCUUGGUGUAGCAGUGAAAUGCGUAGAUAUCAAGCGGAACACCAGUGGCGAAGGCGAGUCCCUGGACAGGUCCUGACGCUGAGGCACGAAAGCUAGGGGAGCAAACA
RNAcentral lists this ribosomal RNA (207 nucleotides) under uncultured bacterium. RNAcentral describes it as "partial 16S ribosomal RNA". It matches the Rfam family "Bacterial small subunit ribosomal RNA", at positions 568 to 774 of the family's 1533-position model. The record is from RNAcentral.